Vulpes vulpes (red fox) is the source of this 132-nucleotide small nuclear RNA. Its record names the gene U4. It matches the Rfam family "U4 spliceosomal RNA". From Rfam's summary of the family: U4 small nuclear RNA (U4 snRNA) is a component of the major U2-dependent spliceosome. The structure of U4 snRNA from yeast and human has been reported. NCBI's taxonomy places the organism in Eukaryota, Metazoa, Chordata, Mammalia, Carnivora, Canidae. The record is from Ensembl.
AGCUUUGCGCAGUGGCAGUAUUGCAGCCAAUGAGGUUUACCCAAAGCAUGAUUAUUGCUAAUUGAAAACUUUCCCCAAAGUCGCCACAGUCCAGUGUGGAGUGGCUGCCAUCUUCGAAAUACAUAAAUUAGA